Molecule: ribosomal RNA, 1522 nt
Filed under: metagenome
Description: bacterial SSU rRNA
Rfam family: Bacterial small subunit ribosomal RNA
Source: RNAcentral
AGAGUUUGAUCAUGGCUCAGAUUGAACGCUGGCGGCAGGCCUAACACAUGCAAGUCGAACGGUAACAGGAAACAGCUUGCUGUUUCGCUGACGAGUGGCGGACGGGUGAGUAAUGUCUGGGAAACUGCCUGAUGGAGGGGGAUAACUACUGGAAACGGUAGCUAAUACCGCAUAACGUCGCAAGACCAAAGAGGGGGACCUUCGGGCCUCUUGCCAUCAGAUGUGCCCAGAUGGGAUUAGCUAGUAGGUGGGGUAACGGCUCACCUAGGCGACGAUCCCUAGCUGGUCUGAGAGGAUGACCAGCCACACUGGAACUGAGACACGGUCCAGACUCCUACGGGAGGCAGCAGUGGGGAAUAUUGCACAAUGGGCGCAAGCCUGAUGCAGCCAUGCCGCGUGUAUGAAGAAGGCCUUCGGGUUGUAAAGUACUUUCAGCGGGGAGGAAGGGAGUAAAGUUAAUACCUUUGCUCAUUGACGUUACCCGCAGAAGAAGCACCGGCUAACUCCGUGCCAGCAGCCGCGGUAAUACGGAGGGUGCAAGCGUUAAUCGGAAUUACUGGGCGUAAAGCGCACGCAGGCGGUUUGUUAAGUCAGAUGUGAAAUCCCCGGGCUCAACCUGGGAACUGCAUCUGAUACUGGCAAGCUUGAGUCUCGUAGAGGGGGGUAGAAUUCCAGGUGUAGCGGUGAAAUGCGUAGAGAUCUGGAGGAAUACCGGUGGCGAAGGCGGCCCCCUGGACGAAGACUGACGCUCAGGUGCGAAAGCGUGGGGAGCAAACAGGAUUAGAUACCCUGGUAGUCCACGCCGUAAACGAUGUCGACUUGGAGGUUGUGCCCUUGAGGCGUGGCUUCCGGAGCUAACGCGUUAAGUCGACCGCCUGGGGAGUACGGCCGCAAGGUUAAAACUCAAAUGAAUUGACGGGGGCCCGCACAAGCGGUGGAGCAUGUGGUUUAAUUCGAUGCAACGCGAAGAACCUUACCUGGUCUUGACAUCCACGGAAGUUUUCAGAGAUGAGAAUGUGCCUUCGGGAACCGUGAGACAGGUGCUGCAUGGCUGUCGUCAGCUCGUGUUGUGAAAUGUUGGGUUAAGUCCCGCAACGAGCGCAACCCUUAUCCUUUGUUGCCAGCGGUCCGGCCGGGAACUCAAAGGAGACUGCCAGUGAUAAACUGGAGGAAGGUGGGGAUGACGUCAAGUCAUCAUGACCCUUACGACCAGGGCUACACACGUGCUACAAUGGCGCAUACAAAGAGAAGCGACCUCGCGAGAGCAAGCGGACCUCAUAAAGUGCGUCGUAGUCCGGAUUGGAGUCUGCAACUCGACUCCAUGAAGUCGGAAUCGCUAGUAAUCGUGGAUCAGAAUGCCACGGUGAAUACGUUCCCGGGCCUUGUACACACCGCCCGUCACACCAUGGGAGUGGGUUGCAAAAGAAGUAGGUAGCUUAACCUUCGGGAGGGCGCUUACCACUUUGUGAUUCAUGACUGGGGUGGAGUCGGAACAAGGUAACCGUAGGGGAACCUGCGGUUG